RNAcentral lists this ribosomal RNA (764 nucleotides) under Escherichia coli. RNAcentral's name for it is "bacterial SSU rRNA". It matches the Rfam family "Bacterial small subunit ribosomal RNA", at positions 156 to 896 of the family's 1533-position model. The record is from RNAcentral. Lineage: Bacteria; Pseudomonadati; Pseudomonadota; Gammaproteobacteria; Enterobacterales; Enterobacteriaceae.
AGGAGUGCUAAUACCGGAUGUGAUCAUCGUGCCGCAUGGCAGGAUGAAGAAAGAUGGCCUCUACAAGUAAGCUAUCGCUAAAGGAUGGGCCUGCGUCUGAUUAGCUAGUUGGUAGUGUAACGGACUACCAAGGCGAUGAUCAGUAGCCGGUCUGAGAGGAUGAACGGCCACAUUGGGACUGAGACACGGCCCAAACUCCUACGGGAGGCAGCAGUGGGGAAUCUUCCGCAAUGGACGAAAGUCUGACGGAGCAACGCCGCGUGAGUGAUGAAGGAUUUCGGUCUGUAAAGCUCUGUUGUUUAUGACGAACGUGCAGUGUGUGAACAAUGCAUUGCAAUGACGGUAGUAAACGAGGAAGCCACGGCUAACUACGUGCCAGCAGCCGCGGUAAUACGUAGGUGGCGAGCGUUGUCCGGAAUUAUUGGGCGUAAAGAGCAUGUAGGCGGCUUAAUAAGUCGAGCGUGAAAAUGCGGGGCUCAACCCCGUAUGGCGCUGGAAACUGUUAGGCUUGAGUGCAGGAGAGGAAAGGGGAAUUCCCAGUGUAGCGGUGAAAUGCGUAGAUAUUGGGAGGAACACCAGUGGCGAAGGCGCCUUUCUGGACUGUGUCUGACGCUGAGAUGCGAAAGCCAGGGUAGCGAACGGGAUUAGAUACCCCGGUAGUCCUGGCCGUAAACGAUGGGUACUAGGUGUAGGAGGUAUCGACCCCUUCUGUGCCGGAGUUAACGCAAUAAGUACCCCGCCUGGGGAGUACGGCCGCAAGGUUG